UCUUCCAUCAAAGCACUUGUCACAGCUGCCACUGAGUACAUGUCCUCUAAAAUACAAGCUCCAUGAUACAAGGACCACAUCAGACAGGUCUCUGGCCAGCAUCGUAGUAUAGCACCUGGCUUGUCACGCAUGCUCAGUUGCUGCAGGUAGGGCUGGGCCGAGGCAGUCUACCUGCAUGGCUCAGCCACGUUCUAAGCAGGAACAUCAACUCGAUCUGCUGCUUUUAACCACCCAGCUGGCUUGCAGGUCUGAGGGGAGGGGACAGGAUGGGAAGCAAGAAGAAAGACUCACAGUGGACAUGGGGGAAGCGACAGUGCCAAACUUCUCCCCUUGGGGAGCAGCGUGGGAGGGGCGGCAGAGACGGAGCGUAAACAAACAUUUCCUUGUCUGGUCCAUCCAUGUCGCAGCACCUCUCAGAGCCACAUCAUUCGCGUUGCUGGAUAUGCUGUUGUAGGGACAUGCCGUCUUCUGCUGAUCCAUUCAUCACGCGUGGACAUUUGUUUGGGCUUCUGUGAAAAGUGUUGGUGGGAACAUGGGUGUGCGCAACCAGAUGUUGGCGUUUGCAGCCCUCGGCUUACACGUGUGUUUGCAGCCCCCUCCUCUCGGAGUGGCUCUCCGUGUUCUUUGAGGACCAUCCCCAUAAUGUCUUUAACAGCCACCGCCUCCUGAUCCCCUUCAGCACCUACUAUGGGACCACUGACCAAAGACACCGUGGUAUGUGGCAGGCUGUCAAUUCCAAUGAAAUCUUUGAAGAUGGUAACAGGUACUUUAUUAAGCACUUGCUGUGUACCUGGCUCUGUUCCAAGCUGCUAGGUACUCGGGUACUUAGGUCCUUGGGUUUUCAACUACCUCAUGGAGUGACAAGCAAGGGAUAUAAGUUGCCCAAAGUCACCCAGUAAAUGGUGGGGCCGGGGUUUGAAGUCAGGUGGUCAGAUUCUGGAACCCAUCCUCUCAAUCACUAGCCUACACAUCACUCUAGAUUGAUUUGUCUUUGGUGUAAGGUCUCUUUUUUAACCUAGUGGGAGAAACUGAGGCAGGAAAGAAACCCAAAUCUCACCCAGGAUCAAUGAAAGCCUGAGUGCCCAAGACUUUAUUUCAAAUGAACUUGAAGCAAAUUCCCCAGUCUGUUUUAUGUAGGUACCUAAUGCUACCUGUCAAGAGACCUUCCCAUUCCAAGCCUAUCUUUAUUUUUCUAAGUGUCCAAGAUUCAGGGAUAACAGUGAACAUUUGAGGGGAUACAAGAACAUACUCAGAAAAAAACAUUUAGGAAGCUUCCUUUUCUCAUUACAAAUGAAUAAAGAAAAAAAAACCUUUGUCCCAUGAGGAGAUCAGCUGUAAUUUUUACAAUUUAAAUGCAUUACAGGCUGGACAGAACUAAGACACAGUAAUAGUAGCAAAGAGGUGGCUGAUAGUUUCAGCUUUCCACCUGCAGAGCUCUUUGGGGUUUGUCAAGUUCAAUCACAACCACUUUUCCAUUUUUCUAGAAACCUCUUGAAACAGCUCAUGGAAGCAAGUAUCGUGACCACAGAUGGGGAUAGUGUGGCUCAGAAAGGUGAAGGAAUGAGCCCAAGGUCCCAGAGUCCCAUGUACCCAAGCAGCAGCAUGGUUGGGUGGGAAAUGGUUCAUUCUGUACAACAGGCCGGUUAGCAAACAUCCUGGGGCCCAGGAGAAGCACUGCAAUAUGGAGACAAGUCAGAUAUGCCUCUCUCCCUCUGGUGAUAGAGGCUCUGUGCUUGGCUCACUUCCGUGUCUCCCAGUGCCCCAGCCUGGUGCCUCUGAGUCCUGGUAGCCCCUGGUAGCCAAGGCCCUAGGCAGCUGCAGCACUAGCUGUCCCUUUGAGAGCUCUCCAAACUAGUGCCCAGGCUCCUGCUAAGUGUCUGCCCCAGGCUCGUGAAGCCCAAAGUCUAAACAGGUUCCCUUCAAAUCCAAAAAAUUAAGCUGGACCCCUCUAUCAUUCCUCACACGAAAAUAAAUUCUAGAUGGAUUAAUGUUCAAGUUAAAAAAUUAGAGCCAUAAAAAGGAU
Molecule: long non-coding RNA, 2023 nt
Organism: Mustela erminea (ermine)
Lineage: Eukaryota; Metazoa; Chordata; Mammalia; Carnivora; Mustelidae
Exons: 3
Source: RefSeq, a predicted model, not a curated record